GAAACACGGACCAAGGAGUCUAGCAUGUGCGCGAGUCAUUGGGACUCUGAUAAACCUAAAGGCGCAAUGAAAGUAAAGGUCCGCCUCGCGCGGACCGAGGGAGGAUGGGCCCGUCCCCGGACGGGCCCCGCACUCCCGGGGCGUCUCGUUCUCAUCGCGAGAAGAGGCGCACCCAGAGCGUACACGCUGGGACCCGAAAGAUGGUGAACUAUGCCUGGUCAGGACGAAGUCAGGGGAAACCCUGAUGGAGGUCCGUAGCGAUUCUGACGUGCAAAUCGAUCGUCGGAACUGGGUAUAGGGGCGAAAGACUAAUCGAACCUUCUAGUAGCUGG
This 332-nucleotide ribosomal RNA is filed under the name Pedaria sp. CLS-2009b. RNAcentral's name for it is "eukaryotic LSU rRNA". It matches the Rfam family "Eukaryotic large subunit ribosomal RNA", at positions 656 to 954 of the family's 3401-position model. The record is from RNAcentral. Lineage: Eukaryota; Metazoa; Arthropoda; Insecta; Coleoptera; Scarabaeidae.